GUUGUCAUGGCGGAGUGGUUAAGACGAUGGACUAUAAAUCUAUUGGGUCUUCCCCGCGCAGAUUCAAAUCCUGCCGAUAACG
This is a non-coding RNA of Danionella cerebrum, 82 nucleotides long. NCBI's taxonomy places the organism in Eukaryota, Metazoa, Chordata, Actinopteri, Cypriniformes, Danionidae. The record is from the annotation of a GenBank genome assembly.